CGGGGCAUAGCUCAAUUGGCAGAGCGCCUGGUUUGGGACCAGGAGGUUCCCGGUUCGACCCCGGGUGCCCCGA
RNAcentral lists this transfer RNA (73 nucleotides) under Elusimicrobiota bacterium. RNAcentral describes it as "Elusimicrobia bacterium (anaerobic digester metagenome) tRNA-Pro". It matches the Rfam family "tRNA". Rfam says of the family: Transfer RNA (tRNA) molecules are approximately 80 nucleotides in length. Their secondary structure includes four short double-helical elements and three loops (D, anti-codon, and T loops). The record is from RNAcentral. Lineage: Bacteria; Pseudomonadati; Elusimicrobiota.